Molecule: ribosomal RNA, 502 nt
Filed under: uncultured bacterium
Lineage: Bacteria
Description: partial 16S ribosomal RNA
Rfam family: Bacterial small subunit ribosomal RNA
Source: RNAcentral
GAUGAACGCUAGCGGCAGGCCUAACACAUGCAAGUCGAGGGGCAGCACAGAAACAGCAAUGUUUUGGUGGCGACCGGCGGACGGGUGCGUAACGCGUAUGCAACCUACCUUUAACAGGGGGAUAACGGAGAGAAAUCUCCACUAAUACCCCAUAACAUCGAUCAAGGCAUCUUGAUUGGUUGAAAACUCCGGUGGUUAAAGAUGGGCAUGCGUUGUAUUAGGUAGUUGGUGAGGUAAUGGCUCACCAAGCCUACGAUACAUAGGGGGACUGUGCGGUUAGCCCCCCACAAUGGUACUGGGACACGGACCAGACUCAUACGGGCAGCAGCAGUGAGGAAUAUUGGUCAAUGGGGGCAACCCUGAACCAGCCAUGCCGGGUGCAGGAAGACGGCUCUAUGAGUUGUAAACUGCUUUUAAACAGGGAUAAAGCACAGUAUGUAUACUGUGUUGAAGGUACUGUAAGAAUAAGGAUCGGCUAACUCCGUGCCAGCAGCCGCAGUAA